CGCCUGUUUAACAAAAACAUGUCCUCAUGUUUUUAUUUGAGGUUUGGCCUGCCCGGUGAUUUUAAUUUAACGGCCGCGGUAUAUUGACCGUGCAAAGGUAGCAUAAUCAUUAGUCUUUUAAUAGGAGGCUGGAAUGAAAGGUUUAACGAAAAAUUAGCUGUCUCAAUUAUAAAUUUGAAUUUAACUUUUAAGUUAAAAGGCUUAAAUUUUUUUGUAGGACGAGAAGACCCUAUAGAGCUUUACAUUUAAUAUUUUGUUAUAUUGAUUUAGAUUAAUAUUUUUAAUUAACUUUAAAAAAUGUUUUGUUGGGGUGACAAGAAAUAUAUAUUUAACUUUUAUUAUUAUAUUUUCAUUAAUUUAUGAUUAUUGGAUCCAAAAUUUUUGAUCAUUAGAAUAAGUUACCUUAGGGAUAACAGCG
RNAcentral lists this ribosomal RNA (418 nucleotides) under Paracercion hieroglyphicum. RNAcentral's name for it is "partial 16S ribosomal RNA". The stretch from base 1 to 205 matches the Rfam family "Archaeal large subunit ribosomal RNA", at positions 1889 to 2143 of the family's 2987-position model. Lineage: Eukaryota; Metazoa; Arthropoda; Insecta; Odonata; Coenagrionidae. The record is from RNAcentral.